This 2104-nucleotide long non-coding RNA is filed under the name Homo sapiens (human). Its description in RNAcentral is "non-protein coding lnc-GOSR2-2:4". Lineage: Eukaryota; Metazoa; Chordata; Mammalia; Primates; Hominidae. The record is from RNAcentral.
GGAAGAACCACUUCAUCUCCCACCCCCCAUCAAAUGAUGCCUGUGAGACUAAGUCCGAAGGGGACUGAUAUAAAAUGCUUCUGCCCAGCAUGGUUGUGCAGUUUGUUCACUGCACAAGGGCACUUGGCCAAGGGGAUGAGUGGGAAUGAACAUCCUGCCCCUGCUCCAUGCUGAGCCACAUACAAAGUCCCCCCAGUAUAUUGUGGGGCCCUUCUGGACAGACAUGGAGAGCUUCUGAAAGUCCCACAUGCAUGGAAUUAUUUUCAAGACCCCAGGUAUGUGGUCUGUGGUGGUUCUUCUCCCUGUGAUUAUGGACUGAGAUACUCAUUUAGUUCUAAUAAGACCAGAGAAGUACAUUGUGAGAUACGUGGGAAACGGCUGCAUCACUCACUGUCUUGUGCAUGUGUCUCCCCAGGGGCAUUUUCAGAUUUCUGCCACGGAGAUGCUCUUCGCAAAGGGAGAGUCAGGAUGGACUUUUUUCAUUCAGAAAGCCGCUCUGGCUUAAAGACAUGUACAAACCUCUCAGUGCCACAAGAGUAAAGAAUCACGCAUGGAAGCUGCACAAGAAGUCAUCUAAUGAGGACAAGAUCCUCAACAGGGACCCUGGGUAAAUGACGGGACCCUCACAGUUCCCAUCUAAAAUGAGGAGGGGGUGAGACGCUUAAUUGCUCCUUUCAAGAAUGAAAACCUUGGCAUUGUUAUUCUUAUCCCAGGGACAGUGAAGCCCCAACAGAGAAGGAGGAGGAGAGUGAAGCCCUGCCAUAGGAGGAGAACCCAGCCCACCUCAGGCCUCCUGCAAAAACACAUAGCAUAAACAAUACCAUCAGAAAGAAAAGCAGGACUGAAGCCAGCAGCCCACACAUCCACAGAGGCAGCGGGCAGAGCAAGCACAGGGCCAUCGUUCCUGCCCUUGUUUCCCAGUCUAAUUAGUCACCCAGACCUGAAAACAUAUCCUCAGGGGGUGGAGAUUUUACAAUUAAAUACCAUUGUUUUUGGUGCCCUCUCCCUGGGUUCAUCAAGCACCAGUCAUAUAAUACCACAUACUUGAACUCCUGCCCACAGGGGACCUCCCAUCUCCUGGCCCCUAUUAUAGGAUCACUGGGCCUACCUGCACUGUGGGGCCAAGCCCUGUCUUUUUCCCAAGCCCUCAAGCACACGCAUGAAUGUUCAUCCCGACUUGGUAGGGGGCUUUUCACCCUUACAAGAUGGCAAAAGAUUCACACUGCUUUUUUUAAAAUUUGUUUUUCUUUUUAAAAAUCCCAACCCUUGGAUAGCAAGGGAGGUGCUGGAGGGGUAGGGUCAAGAAGAGUGUGUGAGAACAGUAAUUUCCCAAGACUGCCCUCUGCGGGACUGUAUUUCAGAAAACACACUGGUGGGGCUACCUCUCCAUUCACAUGUACUGCCCUAGCCUCUCCCCAUCCCCGGCUGAUGCACUUCCAUAUCUGCACUGUUCCAUAACAGCAGUAGCAUGUUGCAGAAAGCGCUAGGAUUCCUCCACUCCAUCUUCAAAGAAAAAGUCGCUAAUAAAUCACAUUUGGUAGGUUAGUGAACGUUAAACACAUUAGUGAGCAAAAGAAAAUAGGAAUGAACAAGAAUUGGUCAUCUACCUAACUGAACACAAAUGAACUCUGGCAGUUCGGUAAUAGGAGGUAAAGAACCGCGCUAAUUGCAGAACAGCAGCCCCCCUACCUUCCCAGGAGCAGUGUGACUGGGAAGCAGCCCCGUGUGUAUGCUGGUGCAGGUUCUAAGCAAAGUGAGCUGCCCAUCAGUUCUGAUGAGUUUGCUGAUGCUAGACAUAUGACAUCUGUUCUCUUGCUGCCUGCCCCAGUUAUCUCCCAAAGUUCUUUACUGAGAAUGAAAAGCAUCUUUCUCUGUGUGGUGACUUCAGUAGGCCAACAAAUAUUUGAGUUUAAAGCACAAGACUAAAUAGUCAUAGGCAGAGCAGUGCUACCAUUUACAAUUUGCUUACUUGAUGCUAAACCAUGGGUUAGGCAUUUUACAGUCAUAUCAUCUAGCCCAGCAAGUCAUGGAAGCAUAGUUGUUAAAAUCAUCUGAUACUUUGGGAGGCUGGGGCGGGCAGAUCACGAGGUCAGGAGAUCGAGAC